This is a long non-coding RNA of Pseudophryne corroboree (corroboree frog), 707 nucleotides long. RefSeq lists it as uncharacterized. The record is from RefSeq and is a predicted model, not a curated record. Lineage: Eukaryota; Metazoa; Chordata; Amphibia; Anura; Myobatrachidae. The transcript is spliced from 5 exons.
GUAAUUACAUUGUGUCUGCAGGGGACUGGUCUUACUACUCUUAACUGAGCAAGUAUAUCAAGCAACAAUGUUGCAACAUUCGAUCCGCACAGCAACAAAGUAGCUCAGACAAAUCGCUGCACACAUGCGUUAGUAGAGAGUGAUUCAGACGUAAAGUCUCGGAUAUCCCUGGAGCUUUUACGACAACAGAGGGGAAAGCAGACUGCAGUCCCGGAGGAAAGCUUUCCUACUGUGAGAUAUGUUACUUAUUACUGAUAGUGGCUGCACCCUGAUAGUCGCCCACCCCGUGUGACCCCCUACCUGGACUCAGGACAGCUGAUAUAUUCCCCACAUGAGAAGACGUGUGAAUGAAUAGAUGGGGAAUUAAUAGAAGAAAAGAACAAGGAAUAGUAAUACUGGUAACACAUAACUUAAGAUGUGACGAGAAAAGGGAUCCAUUCAAUAUCCCUACACCUGCCAGAACGCUGACGACGGACUACAGAAAACCUCAGUAUCCCGACACCGAAAUACUGACAGCCAGUAUAUGAAUUCUUGUCUGUUUGUGGCUCUGUUCUGGUAUCACACAAAAACUACUGGACACAUUUGGAUAGCGUUUUCACUAUUGCAUAGCCUAGUGACCUAGAAAAAACAGAGCUAUGUAUAAGAGGAGCACUAAAGGAACAAACAGAUGCUUGACACUAGGCAUGUGCAGUGUGCAUGCUCCUCAG